This 253-nucleotide ribosomal RNA is filed under the name uncultured prokaryote. RNAcentral describes it as "partial 16S ribosomal RNA". It matches the Rfam family "Bacterial small subunit ribosomal RNA", at positions 524 to 776 of the family's 1533-position model. The record is from RNAcentral.
UACGGAAGGGGCAAGCGUUGUUCGGAAUCAUUGGGCGUAAAGGGCGCGUAGGUGGUUCUGUAUGUCUACUGUGAAAGCAUACGGCUCAACCGUGUUAGGCCGGUAGAAACUGCAGGACUUGAGGCUGGGAGGGGCUGGUGGAAUUCCCCGUGUAGCGGUGAAAUGCGUAGAGAUGGGGGAGAACACUCGUGGCGAAGGCGGCCAGCUAGACCAGUUCUGACACUGAGGCGCGACAGCGUGGGGAGCAAACAGG